UUAAGAAUUGACGGGGGCCCGCACAAGCGGUGGAGCAUGUGGUUUAAUUCGACGAUACGCGAAGAACCUUACCCGGGUUUGACAUUGUAUCGAAGCAUCCAGAGAUGGAUGUGUCUCUUCGGAGACGGUAUGACAGGUGGUGCAUGGUUGUCGUCAGCUCGUGUCGUGAGAUGUUGGGUUAAGUCCCGCAACGAGCGCAACCCUUGUGUUUUAGUUGCAAACAGGUCAAGCUGUGCACUCUAGACAGACUGCCGUGGACAACACGGAGGAAGGUGGGGAUGACGUCAAAUCAUCAUGCCCCUUAUGAUCUGGGCUACACACGUGCUACAAUGGCCGGUACAACGGGCAGCGAAGGAGCGAUCCGGAGCGAAUCCUAAAAAGCCGGUCCCAGUUCGGACUGCAGGCUGAAACUCGCCUACAUGAAGUUGGAGUUGCUAGUAAUCGCGAAUCAGAAUGUCGCGGUGAAUGCGUUCCCGGGUCUU
Molecule: ribosomal RNA, 482 nt
Filed under: uncultured Fusibacter sp.
Lineage: Bacteria; Bacillati; Bacillota; Clostridia; Eubacteriales; Fusibacteraceae
Description: bacterial SSU rRNA
Rfam family: Bacterial small subunit ribosomal RNA
Source: RNAcentral